This 490-nucleotide ribosomal RNA is filed under the name uncultured bacterium. RNAcentral describes it as "partial 16S ribosomal RNA". It matches the Rfam family "Bacterial small subunit ribosomal RNA", at positions 29 to 505 of the family's 1533-position model. The record is from RNAcentral.
AUUGAACGCUGGCGGCAUGCUUUACACAUGCAAGUCGAACGGUAACAGGCCUUCGGGUGCUGACGAGUGGCGAACGGGUGAGUAAUGCAUCGGAACGUGCCCAGAGGUGGGGGAUAACGCAGCGAAAGCUGUGCUAAUACCGCAUGUGAUCUGAGGAUGAAAGCGGGGGACCAGGCAGCAAUGUUUGGCCUCGCGCCUUUGGAGCGGCCGAUGUCAGAUUAGGUAGUUGGUGGGGUAAAGGCCUACCAAGCCGACGAUCUGUAGCUGGUCUGAGAGGACGGACAGCCCACAUGGGGCUGGGACCCGGGCCAGGCCCCAACGGGGGGCAGGAGGGGGGGAUUUUGGAAAAGGGGGGGAAGCCUGAUCACGGAAAGCCGGGGGGGGGAAAAAGGCCUUCGGGGUGUAAACCCCUUUUGGAAGGAAAAAAAAGGCCCCGGCUAAACCCUGGGGCUGGUGGCGGGAACGUAAAAAAAAGCACCGGCUAAAUACG